RNAcentral lists this ribosomal RNA (2352 nucleotides) under Triticum aestivum (bread wheat). Its description in RNAcentral is "partial small subunit ribosomal RNA". The record is from RNAcentral. Lineage: Eukaryota; Viridiplantae; Streptophyta; Magnoliopsida; Poales; Poaceae.
AUGGUCACCACCACGGUCGUCGUGACGGUCCUUGUCUUUGGGCUCGUCGUGCUCUGCAUGCUUGGCCGCCGUACCAGGCGCCACAGCGGGUACUCCAUCGCCAUGCGCGUCAUCUUCCAGGCAUGCUUCACGCUCUUCCUCCCCUUCAUGUCCUACAUCUUUUCCCAGACCAAGAGCAAGCCCGACACCAGCAACCAGCGGCGCACGGAGAUCGUCAUCCUCUGGAUGCUGCUCGUCGAGCUCCUCCGCAAGAAGGUCUCCGCGGGGAUGGCGCCAGCCGCUGAAGCCUUCACCCGCGGCAUCGGGUGCUAUAGCCUGUUGUACCCCAUGGAGGAGGUGGUGCGCAUGGCGUGGAUCGGCUACCUCAUCUACGCCUACGUUCAUGGCUUGGGCAUCAAACCCUUCUUCAUCAUCCUCUGGAUAUUUGGCGUCGCAACGCUUUGCAAGCGGGCCGUCUGCAUCCAUGUCGCCAAAGACUCCUUCGACCUCGCCAAGAAUACCGCCCUCGUCUCUGGCUACAUGGCGCAGCUCGUCCACGCGGGCCGACAACUGUCCAACGAAGACGACACACACCCACCGGGCACCCACAUCAUGAGGACUUGCAACUAUGUAGUCAUGGGAGAGGGCCGGCUCAAGAGAAAGGUGACGCCCUAUGGCUUCGAGAUCCAUGACCCAGAAGUGAAGAACGUUGGCCUUGAGAUCUGCGGCGAAGAAAGGGAGAACAUUGUCCCCGAAGGAGGCGGUCUAAAUGGCGACCUAGUGACCAACAAGUCCGAGUUGGUCCGGGUAUGUGACAUAUGGGGCUUCUCCGAGACAGAAGCCAUCUUCAAGUACGACAAGAGUAGGAAAUGGAAGUUGGAGAACAUUUGCUUCGCCCUCGCACUCUUCAAGCUACUCCGACGAAAGAUGGAGCACCUCCACAUGGCAGAGGUCAAGACCACACAAGCGCGUGAUCUCGUGCUCUGGGGCCUCCUCAGGCUCACGGGGGAUGAAGUGUUCGACGCCCGUCGGGCGUUCCAUGUGGUAGAGCUAGAGCUCAGGUUCAUGGAUGAGUACUACCAAGAUAUCAUCCCGCUGGCGUUGCCUAGGCCAGAGCUCUUUCUGGCCAACUUCGCCUUGUCCAUCGUCUUUGUCGUGUUCUAUGGCGUCACUGUGUUGCUCGUCACGAGCAAUGCCAACAUCAUCAUCGUAUUGGGCUCGCUGUUCAAGGGGCUCAUCGGUCUAUUCAUCGCCAUGCUGGUACACCACAAGUGCUUUCUGCACCAAGUGGCCUCCUUGGUUGUCACCGUGCGUACCACUUUUGACAUCAUCAUCACCUACCUCCUCAUGCUCGCCCUCCUCCUCGUCCAGACAUAUCAGUUGAUCCAUUACGUGAUCUCUGACUGGUUUCUAGUGUCCUUGAUCUGCAACUACGUCCGAAAAAAAAGCAUGCAGAGAUUGUUCCACCAUAGGCAAAUCAUCAAGAUCAUCUUGUGGGCGAAGCACCGUUUGUUCCCCAUCAUCAAGGUCCACCAGCUCAACAUUUUGAAGCUCAAUCCGCUUCACCUGCAUUCUCGGGUGUGGAUGCUCAUCUCUACCUUGCUCAACAGGCGUCUCGUCGGGUUCUCGGAUGCCAUCGUCACCAUUGAUGUCAAUCUGGCCAUUGUCAAGGUCUUGAAGAACAUCCUCGACCCUAACUCCGACAAGGACUUCAGCAACGGCAUAGGUGCAUUGGAGCAGCAUGAAUUCACUCAACUCAAAUGGGCGUGCAAGGACAAUAUGGAUGUCGCCACAGUGAUCGUGGUGUGGCACAUCGCAACGGCCCUAUUUGAGACGAGGAACCGACAGAAGCACCCAUUGCAGCCAGAAGGCCGGGCUGCCCUGAUGUUGUCAAGGUACUGCGCAUACCUCGUGGUAUACGAGCCAUGCCUCCUCCCAGACGACAAGACAUGGACGGAGAAAGUGUACAGGGACAUCAAGGCGGAACUCAACAGCUUCUUCCAGAGCUAUUGCACCACCAUGCACCGUCGUAAGCACCUGAUGAGGUUCUUCUCAACUAAAGAGAAGGAGAUGUCAACCAUGGAGACGGGCGUCAAGCUAGGGAAGCAACUAGAGGAAAGAGACACUAGUGCCGAUGGUGAUACAUUGCACGAGGACGAGAGGGUUUGGAAGAUGCUCCUUGACUUCUGGGCGGAGCUGCUCGUGUUCAUGGCUCGCAGGCCAUCGGGAGGACAAGAUGCACAUGCGUUGGCGUUGGGCAAUAGCGGUGAGUUCAUCACCCACAUCUGGGCUAUGCUCACCCACGCCGGCAUCCGUCUCUCCAAGAAUCACCAGGAGGACCAUGUUCCGUGGUGCCAUCCCGAUCCUGUUUGA